UUACUAUAGCUUGACACUGAACAUUGAGCCUUGAUGUGUAGGAUAGGUGGGAGGCUUUGAAGCGUGGACGCCAGUCUGCGUGGAGCCGACCUUGAAAUACCACCCUUUAAUGUUUGAUGUUCUAACGUGGACCCGUGAUCCGGGUUGCGGACAGUGUCUGGUGGGUAGUUUGACUGGGGCGGUCUCCUCCUAAAGAGUAACGGAGGAGCACGAAGGUUGGCUAAUCCUGGUCGGACAUCAGGAGGUUAGUGCAAUGGCAUAAGCCAGCUUGACUGCGAGCGUGACGGCGCGAGCAGGUGCGAAAGCAGGUCAUAGUGAUCCGGUGGUUCUGAAUGGAAGGGCCAUCGCUCAACGGAUAAAAGGUACUCCGGGGAUAACAGGCUGAUACCGCCCAAGAGUUCAUAUCGACGGCGGUGUUUGGCACCUCGAUGUCGGCUCAUCACAUCCUGGGGCUGAAGUAGGUCCCAAGGGUAUGGCUGUUCGCCAUUUAAAGUGGUACGCGAGCUGGGUUUAGAACGUCGUGAGACAGUUCGGUCCCUAUCUGCCGUGGGCGCUGGAGAACUGAGGGGGGCUGCUCCUAGUACGAGAGGACCGGAGUGGACGCAUCACUGGUGUUCGGGUUGUCAUGCCAAUGGCACUGCCCGGUAGCUAAAUGCGGAAGAGAUAAGUGCUGAAAGCAUCUAAGCACGAAACUUGCCCCGA
RNAcentral lists this ribosomal RNA (702 nucleotides) under Salmonella enterica. Its description in RNAcentral is "partial 23S ribosomal RNA". It matches the Rfam family "Bacterial large subunit ribosomal RNA", at positions 2101 to 2802 of the family's 2925-position model. Lineage: Bacteria; Pseudomonadati; Pseudomonadota; Gammaproteobacteria; Enterobacterales; Enterobacteriaceae. The record is from RNAcentral.